AGGGUUUGAUCAUGGCUCAGAUUGAACGCUGGUGGUAUGCUUAACACAUGCAAGUCGAACGGUAACAUUGGAGCUUGCUCCAGAUGACGAGUGGCGGACGGGUGAGUAACGCGUAGGAAUCUGCCUAGUAGUGGGGGACAACAUGUGGAAACGCAUGCUAAUACCGCAUACGCCCUACGGGGGAAAGCGGGGGAUCUUCGGACCUCGCGCUAUUAGAUGAGCCUGCGUUAGAUUAGCUUGUUGGUGGGGUAAUGGCCUACCAAGGCGACGAUCUAUAGCUGGUCUGAGAGGACGAUCAGCCACACUGGGACUGAGACACGGCCCAGACUCCUACGGGAGGCAGCAGUGGGGAAUAUUGGACAAUGGGCGCAAGCCUGAUCCAGCAAUACCACGUGUGUGAAGAAGGCCUGAGGGUUGUAAAGCACUUUCAAUUGGGAGGAAAACAGCUGGGUUAAUAGCCCUGCUCUUGACAUUACCUUUAGAAGAAGCACCGGCUAACUCCGUGCCAGCAGCCGCGGUAAUACGGAGGGUGCGAGCGUUAAUCGGAAUUACUGGGCGUAAAGCGUACGUAGGCGGUUAUUUAAGUCAGAUGUGAAAGCCCCGGGCUCAACCUGGGAACUGCAUUUGAAACUGGAUAACUAGAG
This 644-nucleotide ribosomal RNA is filed under the name uncultured bacterium. RNAcentral describes it as "bacterial SSU rRNA". It matches the Rfam family "Bacterial small subunit ribosomal RNA", at positions 8 to 646 of the family's 1533-position model. The record is from RNAcentral.